AACAAGGCGUACCUGCGGACCUGCGGAAGGAUCAUUAAAAAGAGUGUGUACCCCUCUGUAAAAUGAGUGGGUUACCUCCCGUCCUUUGUUGACCUCUUAGGAGGUUAUUUUGAACUUUCUGCUUCGGUGGGGUUAAACCUACCGGAACACCCUCAAAUUCUUAUCAUUUAAAAAUUGUUCAGUCUGAUUUUUGUUAAUAAAAACAAAAAACUUUCAACAACGGAUCUCAGAUCGGAAGAG
Molecule: unclassified non-coding RNA, 240 nt
Filed under: soil metagenome
Description: partial contains 5.8S ribosomal RNA, internal transcribed spacer 2, and large subunit ribosomal RNA
Source: RNAcentral